Molecule: ribozyme, 117 nt
Filed under: Aedes aegypti (yellow fever mosquito)
Lineage: Eukaryota; Metazoa; Arthropoda; Insecta; Diptera; Culicidae
Description: drz-agam-1 ribozyme
Rfam family: drz-agam-1 ribozyme
Source: Rfam by way of RNAcentral
UGCUCAGCAACUCCUAUCCCUACCUCCUCGUGGUACUGGCCGGGGUACGAGUAACCUUGGGGAAGAUUGGGUAACCAACCCCCGGUGGGAACUUUGGUCGUAUGCUGACAGGGAAGG